This is a long non-coding RNA of Chelonia mydas (Green sea turtle), 795 nucleotides long. RefSeq lists it as uncharacterized. The record is from RefSeq and is a predicted model, not a curated record. NCBI's taxonomy places the organism in Eukaryota, Metazoa, Chordata, Testudines, Cheloniidae. The transcript is spliced from 3 exons.
UGUAGGUAGAAAACCAAGGCCUGCCGAACAUCGAGGGAGUGAAGUCUUGGUUCCUCUGUGGAAACGUGGGGUUUUGGGGAGAACAUAGAAUGAAGCCAAAGCUGCAGACACUGAAGGUUCCAACCCACAUCAUGUGGCGGUGAGAAGGAACUGGAGAGAUUGUUGGUCCGCCCUGACUUUUACCUCCUUGGUUGAAGGCAUGAGAUGACAGGAGACAAAGGGAUGAGGAGAGCUUAUAUGCACCAAAAGCGGUUGGACCCACGGUCGGAGUGAGUGAAGAGUGGGAGGGAAAGAAAGCCAGGACAGGAUUUGGAUCUCAGCCCAAUCUUGUGAGGUGACUGGCCUUAAUUCAAUUUCAGGCUUUUUUUAAACAUUCAAAAACACUUUAAAUAUCCUGCUAAUUCCUCUUUCAUAGUUAAUGUUAAAGGGUAGAAACAGCGUAAGACAAUAGAGGAAAAAUACCCAGAGCAAGGGUGAACUGAACACUAGGAAAGGAAGGAGACAAAAGCAAGGACAUUCACCGAGGGAGCCCACAGCACAGGAAAAAGUUGUGAAAAUAGGAAAGCAGAAAGUGCAAAUAACGGCUGGAUAAAGGAACACCAGCACAAUUAUACUAGAAGACAAAAAAGAAACAAAAUAAGAUAAAAAAAUUCCUGUUAUGACUAUGGGUCUCAUUUUCAUUUACCUUAAGAGCAGCUGUUAGGAGUGGUGAAAAGGGGCCUUACGAUAAAUGAGAAUCAGGCGCAUGGUGUACAGAAUGAAAAAGCAUGGAGAGAUAUAAAGUACCCAGUAAGA